CGGCGGAGGGGUGAGUAACGCGUGGCAACCUGCCUCAAGGUUUGGGAUAACAGCUCGAAAGGGCUGCUAAUACCGGAUAUGCCUGUGGCCUCGCAGGGGGCUAUGAGCAAAGGGGAAACCCGCCUUGAGAUGGGCCCGCGUCCCAUCAGCUAGUUGGUGAGGUAACGGCUCACCAAGGCGACGACGGGUAGCCGGCCUGAGAGGGUGACCGGCCACGCUGGGACUGAGACACGGACCAGACUCCUACGGGGGGCAGCGGUGGGGGAUCUUGCACAAUGGGCAAAAGCCUGAUGCAGCGACGCCGCGUGAGCGAAGAAGGCCUUCGGGUUGUAAAGCUCUGUCUGGAGGGACAAAGAAAAUGACGGUACCUCCGGAGGAAGCCACGGCUAACUACGUGCCAGCAGCCGC
This 408-nucleotide ribosomal RNA is filed under the name uncultured Bacillota bacterium. RNAcentral describes it as "bacterial SSU rRNA". It matches the Rfam family "Bacterial small subunit ribosomal RNA", at positions 96 to 518 of the family's 1533-position model. The record is from RNAcentral. Lineage: Bacteria; Bacillati; Bacillota.